UAAUCGGAAUUACUGGGCGUAAAGCGCACGCAGGCGGUCUGUCAAGUCGGAUGUGAAAUCCCCGGGCUCAACCUGGGAACUGCAUUCGAAACUGGCAGGCUUGAGUCUUGUAGAGGGGGGUAGAAUUCCAGGUGUAGCGGUGAAAUGCGUAGAGAUCUGGAGGAAUACCGGUGGCGAAGGCGGCCCCCUGGACAAAGACUGACGCUCAGGUGCGAAAGCGUGGGGAGCAAACAGGAUUAGAUACCCUGGUAGUCCACGCCGUAAACGAUGUCUACUUGGAGGUUGUGCCCUUGAGGCGUGGCUUCCGGAGCUAACGCGUUAAGUAGACCGCCUGGGGAGUACGGCCGCAAGGUUAAAACUCAAAUGAAUUGACGGGGGCCCGCACAAGCGGUGGAGCAUGUGGUUUAAUUCGAUGCAACGCGAAGAACCUUACCUGGUCUUGACAUCCACAGAACUUUCCAGAGAUGGAUUGGUGCCUUCGGGAACUGUGAGACAGGUGCUGCAUGGCUGUCGUCAGCUCGUGUUGUGAAAUGUUGGGUUAAGUCCCGCAACGAGCGCAACCCUUAUCCUUUGUUGCCAGCGGUUAGGCCGGGAACUC
RNAcentral lists this ribosomal RNA (598 nucleotides) under Salmonella enterica subsp. enterica serovar Braenderup. Its description in RNAcentral is "bacterial SSU rRNA". It matches the Rfam family "Bacterial small subunit ribosomal RNA", at positions 542 to 1140 of the family's 1533-position model. The record is from RNAcentral. Lineage: Bacteria; Pseudomonadati; Pseudomonadota; Gammaproteobacteria; Enterobacterales; Enterobacteriaceae.